UCAGUGUUCAUUGACAUAUCAUAAAAGGGAUACUCCUAUUUCUAGAGAAGGGCAGGAGAAAGUUUUGAAUGCACUCACUCAAAAUUUCAGACAACACCACUAAUAAGUUAAGAAAUUUUUUUGAUUCCCAGUUGAAAACGGUUGGUCAGGAAAUAAGAGAUCCAUUACGAUCCUCAAUUACUUCAACGUCAUUCCCCCAAAUCCCUUUGCCGCUUCUUCUCCAUGCUGCCCACACAAUCCCCGUUCCUCCUCUUUCCCCGUCGCCAUCAGUAUUAUUACCAGCAAGACCGAACCCUAAGCACAAACCCAAGCAAUUUACUACUCCAUCUCCACUCCUAUCCACUGUUCGGUGAGACAAUUGAAGAAAGCUGAGGCACUAUGUCGAACUAGCAUUCAAGUUGGUGGACUGGAGAUUCGAGGACCUUUUAAUGAUAGUAGAGAGCGUGGUGGUUUUGAGGUUUAUGGGUAGAAAAUUUGAGUGGGUUUGCUGAAUGUGACUGGAGAAAAUUUAUGGAUGAGGGCAGAGAUGGUGGAGAAACUAACUGGUAUA
RNAcentral lists this long non-coding RNA (550 nucleotides) under Olea europaea (common olive). Its description in RNAcentral is "long non-coding RNA (OEUR_LNC006727)". The record is from RNAcentral. Lineage: Eukaryota; Viridiplantae; Streptophyta; Magnoliopsida; Lamiales; Oleaceae.